This 73-nucleotide transfer RNA is filed under the name Felis catus (domestic cat). It matches the Rfam family "tRNA". From Rfam's summary of the family: Transfer RNA (tRNA) molecules are approximately 80 nucleotides in length. Lineage: Eukaryota; Metazoa; Chordata; Mammalia; Carnivora; Felidae. The record is from Rfam by way of RNAcentral. RNAcentral also lists the same sequence under 2 other names.
GCCUGGCUGGCUUAGUUGGUAGAGCAUGAGACUUUUCAUCUUAGGAUUGUGAGUUCUAGCCCCAUACUGGGUA